RNAcentral lists this ribosomal RNA (442 nucleotides) under uncultured bacterium. RNAcentral's name for it is "partial 16S ribosomal RNA". It matches the Rfam family "Bacterial small subunit ribosomal RNA", at positions 338 to 795 of the family's 1533-position model. The record is from RNAcentral.
CCUACGGGUGGCUGCAGUAGGGAAUUUUUCACAAUGGGCGAAAGCCUGAUGGAGCAACGCAGCGUGCAGGAUGAAGGCCUUCGGGUUGUAAACUGCUUUUAUAAGCGAGAAAUAUGAUGAUAACUUAUGAAUAAGGAUCGGCUAACAACGUGCCAGCAGCCGCGGUCAUACGGAGGAUCCGAGCAUUAUCCGGAGUGACUGGAGGUAGAGAGUUGCGUAGGUGGCAUAAGAAGUAGCUAGUGAAAUCUGGUGGCUCAACCAUUCAGACUAUUUGCGAAACUGUUAAGCUCGAGACCGUUAGGGGUAACUGGAAUUUCUAGUGUAGGAGUGAAAUCCGUAGAUAUAAGGAGGAACACCAAUAGCGAAGGCAGGUUGCUGGGACUGUUCUGACACUAAGGCACGAAAGCGUAGGGAGCAAACGGGAUUAGAUACCCGGGUAGUC